UGGGGAAUAUUGGACAAUGGGGGCAACCCUGAUCCAGCCAUGCCGCGUGUGUGAAGAAGGCCUUUUGGUUGUAAAGCACUUUAAGCAGUGAAGAAGACUCCAUGGUUAAUACCCAUGGACGAUGACAUUAGCUGCAGAAUAAGCACCGGCUAACUCUGUGCCAGCAGCCGCGGUAAUACAGAGGGUGCAAGCGUUAAUCGGAAUUACUGGGCGUAAAGCGAGCGUAGGUGGCUUGAUAAGUCAGAUGUGAAAGCCCCGGGCUUAACCUGGGAACGGCAUCUGAUACUGUUAGGCUAGAGUAGGUGAGAGGAAGGUAGAAUUCCAGGUGUAGCGGUGAAAUGCGUAGAGAUCUGGAGGAAUACCGAUGGCGAAGGCAGCCUUCUGGCAUCAUACUGACACUGAGGUUCGAAAGCGUGGGUAUCAAACA
RNAcentral lists this ribosomal RNA (427 nucleotides) under uncultured bacterium. RNAcentral describes it as "partial 16S ribosomal RNA". It matches the Rfam family "Bacterial small subunit ribosomal RNA", at positions 355 to 774 of the family's 1533-position model. The record is from RNAcentral.